GACGAACGCUGGCGGCGUGCUUAACACAUGCAAGUCGAACGGAAAGGCCCUGCUUUUGUGGGGUGCUCGAGUGGCGAACGGGUGAGUAACACGUGAGUAACCUGCCCUUGACUUUGGGAUAACUUCAGGAAACUGGGGCUAAUACCGGAUAGGAGCUCCUGCUGCAUGGUGGGGGUUGGAAAGUUUCGGCGGUUGGGGAUGGACUCGCGGCUUAUCAGCUUGUUGGUGGGGUAGUGGCUUACCAAGGCUUUGACGGGUAGCCGGCCUGAGAGGGUGACCGGCCACAUUGGGACUGAGAUACGGCGCAGACUCCUACGGGAGGCAGCAGUGGGGAAUAUUGCACAAUGGGCGGAAGCCUGAGGCGGCAACGCCGCGUGCGGGAUGACGGCCUUCGGGUUGUGAACCGCUUUCGCCUGUGACGAAGCGUGAGUGACGGUAAUGGGUAAAGAAGCACCGGCUAACUACGUG
This 468-nucleotide ribosomal RNA is filed under the name uncultured bacterium. RNAcentral's name for it is "partial 16S ribosomal RNA". It matches the Rfam family "Bacterial small subunit ribosomal RNA", at positions 28 to 507 of the family's 1533-position model. The record is from RNAcentral.